Molecule: long non-coding RNA, 1922 nt
Organism: Lagenorhynchus albirostris (white-beaked dolphin)
Lineage: Eukaryota; Metazoa; Chordata; Mammalia; Artiodactyla; Delphinidae
Exons: 3
Source: RefSeq, a predicted model, not a curated record
CGUGUGCAAUAACCUGGCGAGAGGGCAAUUCCAAGUGCAGAAGAAACAGGAAGACGGCUGGGGGAAAGGGGGAGUCCAGACAUCAAUCAUUUAGCCGCAAUCUGCGAGCUGAAGUUAGUCCAGUGUGUUUAGCAGUCUGUCACUUACAAAAUGCUUUCCUACAAAUGUUCUCUCUCAGUCCUCAAAACAACCCGGUGAGGCGGAUGUUAUCUCCUUCUCACAGCGGAGGAAUGGACAGGGUGGCAAGACCAAGUAACUGCUCCAAGGUCCCAGGCUGGGCGGCGGAGCCCGGCUCGGUCAGACGCGGAUCCAGGCCGGACUCCACGUCUUCCUGCUCCGAAACUGAGGGCCAGUGGAGGCACAGGGUGUAAGCAGUGCUUCUCCAUCCGGAAUGUGCCGAUGCAUCCACCUGGGAAACUUGUUACAACACAGAUGCACAUUCAGUUGAUCCAAGGUGGGUGAGGAAACGGGGACAAAUGCCAGAUUCCUGAUCAGAUUAAAGGCUGGACAGAGAUGCGUCCAUCAGAACCAGAUGAACAGAAGUCAACAGAUGCAAUGUCUAUCCAUCAUGUAGGUUGCCCACAAAAUCAAGAUGGCCAGGAAGCAGCUGGUAUUUACACCUGGGGCUCUCCCCUUGCCCUCACUUGGGCAGAGGCAGAGAAAGAACGUUGCCCAGCAACACUUUGGGGAGUUCCCCCUCACACACACAUUCCAUGAUAAUCCACUUCAGUUGUUAUGAUUUGGGCAAGUUGCCUCCAAGGAUAACUCCUGUGGAAAGAUGGCCAUGGAUUUAAGGGGGAGACCUUUUUUCCGAGAUUACCUUUGUAAAUCUGGAUGUGGUCAGGGUGGGUGGAGGGUAAUCUUAGCCACCCACAGGAGAGAUCCUUCUAGACAAUGAAGCAACACUGAGGACGGCAGAGCCAUGCCCUUGUUCUUCAAAUUACGCAAGUAGGUCAAGUCCCUUUCUUCCCCUUAAGCCAGAGGUUGUCUGAAACUUUCAACUGGAGUAUGCAUAACACACCUGUGUGGAUUGAAGUGUGUCUCCCAGAAAGACGUGUCCAACUCCCAACCUCUGGUACCUGUGAGUGUGACCUUAUUUGGAGUUAGGGUCUUUGCAGAUGUGAUCAGGCUAAGAUGAGGCCCCAUUAGAUUAGGCUGAGGACGAAGACACACACAGGAGGUAACACCGUGUAGUGAUGGAGGUAGAGAUUGGAGUGAUGCAUCCACAAGCCAAGGCAUGCCAGGAGCCACCAGGAGCUCGGAGAGAGGCGUGGAAAUUCCCUCAGAUUCUCUCUCAGAAACUCCAGAAGAAGCCAACCCCACUGACACCUGAAUUUUGACCUUCUAGUUUCCAGAACCCUGGGAGAAUAAAUUUCUGUUGUUUCGAGCCAUCCGGUUGGUGGUGCUCUGUUACAGCAGCCCUAGGAACCUAAUACAACCCCUCGCUGAUGGUGUUGGCCAUGGAAUCACCUACCCCUUCCUUCCGAGAAACACAUGCAGGAGACUUUUAGGAAACGCUCUCGGUGGUACCCCUAUUUGACCUAAAGAUGCAGUUUGAGGAGUUGUUUGCAUCCGAUCCCUGGCUUUUUGGCUCUCCUGCUCAACUCUCCCCCCAGCACCUAUGCUGAAAGACAUCUUAGUGUAGGCCCUCACCAUAUCUUGCCUAACUUGCAAAAAAUCGUCUGCUGUCUUUUUCUCUCUUGGUUCAUAUUCCAUACUGCCACUUUCCCCCAAAACCAACUGAUUCCAUCUGUCCUCUUGUUAAAACUCUCCAUUGGUUACCCAGGCCCUACAGAAAGCUCUAUCACAUGUGAUCGGAGAAUCUGAAGAAUCUCAUGUCAGCUUAUCUCUGUCCUGUCUAUUCUCAUUCCCUUGCCAUGUGCCCCAUCCCUUUGUUUUUUUAAUGAAAUGACCUGCAUGUA